GAUGAACGCUGGCGGCGUGCUUAACACAUGCAAGUCGAACGGAAAGGCUCCUGCUUGCAGGGGUACUCGAGUGGCGAACGGGUGAGUAACACGUGGGUGAUCUGCCCAGCACUUCGGGAUAAGCCUGGGAAACUGGGUCUAAUACCGGAUAGGACGAUGGUUUGGAUGCCAUUGUGGACAGUUUUUUCGGUGUGGGAUGAGCUCGCGGCCUAUCAGCUUGUUGGUGGGGUAAUGGCCUACCAAGGCGUCGACGGGUAGCCGGCCUGAGAGGGUGUACGGCCACAUUGGGACUGAGAUACGGCCCAGACUCCUACGGGAGGCAGCAGUGGGGAAUAUUGCACAAUGGGCGCAAGCCUGAUGCAGCGACGCCGCGUGGGGGAUGACGGCCUUCGGGUUGUAAACUCCUUUCGCUAGGGACGAAGCGCAAGUGACGGUACCUGGAGAAGAAGCACCGGCUAACUACGUG
This 466-nucleotide ribosomal RNA is filed under the name uncultured bacterium. Its description in RNAcentral is "partial 16S ribosomal RNA". It matches the Rfam family "Bacterial small subunit ribosomal RNA", at positions 28 to 507 of the family's 1533-position model. The record is from RNAcentral.